CUCCUACAUCCUCUGGCUCUCAUUCAGGAAAAUUCCUACUGAAAAUCAACGAGAGAUUAAUACUGUCUAGGCUGUAAACAAGCAGCUGCUGAAGACACUGGCCACAUGGCAGCAUGCUGACAGUUGCAGGGAGAACUUUAUUCCUGUCUUCUGGUCAAAUGAAGAGCAACAGCCUGCCUGAUGGUCAUAGGCUAAGAGCAAAAUGGCUGGCCUCACCUAAGCAAGAUUUCCUCAGAAAGACCAGGUAUUGGCCACUGCCAGAGGCAUGAAACCAGACUAGAUGGACCAGAGAUACACCCGCCAACAUCAGAAAGCUACAAAUGGGAACAUCUGGGGAGAAAAAAACAGGGACAAGACCUUUCUUUUUCUUGAAAUGCAUUGGACCGGGAAAGCUUUUUGGAGGGACUAAGUAGAACAAUGAUGUAUAUAUCUAACUAAAAAUACCCUCCCUCCUAUAUAUAGUGAUUGGCAUGACUGAGCACUUUGUAAAUGGAUCAGUAGAGGCACUGCUCUGAUCUGGAGCAGUAAAUCCUAUGUGAUGAUGUGGGGAUCUAUCUACGUAUGAGUGAGAUUAUUAACACUCUGUAUGGCUCUGUGCCAGGUUGCAAACUCCAUUUUGAAUGGUUUGUCCUUCCAUCUCCAUGUUGGACUGAAAUUCCAAGGUAUGGGGGCCUGGGUCUAAUACUGGAGGGUUGUUAAAUCUUGAUCAUCUUCUAUUCAAACAGAAUCACCCUUGCACAUAGAGCUGUUGCUGCCCAGAAGAACCAGUCUGGGCUGGUAACCAAGUAACGGAUCACCUGGUGAGGGAUUUUGAUCACCUGAUGAGACUGAACAAAGAGUCACUUGACAAAGGGGGUGGAUGGUUAUAGACUAGCAGGUCUCUCCGCAGCCAUUUUAAGGAGCACAAGUGAUCACAAGCAGAAGCAGUGAAAGCCUGAGCAGGAGAGUGGAAGGGCAUUGACGAUAGAGGUCAGAGCAAGAGAAAAGAUUCAGAAAAGAAGCUGUGUACUGCAAGGGGGUCCUGGACUGCUUGAAGGACUCUGCCACAGCCCAGAGCACUCUCCUGGGUGGUGAGGAAACUGAGGCAGGGAAAGGUAUAUAGAUGUUUUUAUUAUUUUGUAUAGAUCUAUGUAUUUCUUUUGCUACUUAA
Mauremys reevesii (Reeves's turtle) is the source of this 1150-nucleotide long non-coding RNA. RefSeq lists it as uncharacterized. The transcript is spliced from 3 exons. Lineage: Eukaryota; Metazoa; Chordata; Testudines; Geoemydidae. The record is from RefSeq and is a predicted model, not a curated record.